UGCCAGCAGCCGCGGUAAUACAGAGGGUGCGAGCGUUAAUCGGAUUUACUGGGCGUAAAGCGUGCGUAGGCGGCUUUUUAAGUCGGAUGUGAAAUCCCCGAGCUUAACUUGGGAAUUGCAUUCGAUACUGGGAAGCUAGAGUAUGGGAGAGGAUGGUAGAAUUCCAGGUGUAGCGGUGAAAUGCGYAGAUAUCAGGAAGAACACCGGUGGCGAAGGCGGGUCUCUGGGCCGAUACUGACGCUGAGGAGCGAAAGCGUGGGGAGCAAACAGGAUUAGAUACCCUGGUAGUCC
This 291-nucleotide ribosomal RNA is filed under the name uncultured bacterium. Its description in RNAcentral is "partial 16S ribosomal RNA". It matches the Rfam family "Bacterial small subunit ribosomal RNA", at positions 506 to 796 of the family's 1533-position model. The record is from RNAcentral.